CAGAGGCAGAGAGACAGAGAGGAGCCACCCUAAGAAGAGAGACCAGAUACCCUUUUCUCAUCCUUUGAGUUCAACAGAUGUCUCUUCUGGUUGCAAGUGACAGAAGCCCACACAGAAAAGGCUCAGACCAAAGAGAAAUUUAUGGGCUCCUGAAACCCCUCACAGUCUCAGACAGGAUUCUUUCAAGAAUUGCAAACUUGGCUGAAGACCUUCCUGUCCCCUUUCUUACCUCCCAUGUACAGGAUGGGGGUGAUGAUCCCACUUCUCUGACUCUCACCCAGAAGUUAGGAACUCCUUAAG
Molecule: long non-coding RNA, 300 nt
Filed under: Homo sapiens (human)
Lineage: Eukaryota; Metazoa; Chordata; Mammalia; Primates; Hominidae
Description: non-protein coding lnc-DHX37-5:1
Source: RNAcentral